CAUUCAGUUGGGCACUCUAAGGUGACUGCCGGUGACAAACCGGAGGAAGGUGGGGAUGACGUCAAAUCAUCAUGCCCCUUAUGACCUGGGCUACACACGUGCUACAAUGGACGGUACAAAGAGCUGCAAGACCGCGAGGUGGAGCUAAUCUCAUAAAACCGUUCUCAGUUCGGAUUGUAGGCUGCAACUCGCCUACAUGAAGCUGGAAUCGCUAGUAAUCGCGGAUCAGCAUGCCGCGGUGAAUACGUUCCCGGGCCUUGUACACACCGCCCGUCACACCACGAGAGUUUGUAACACCCGAAGUCGGUGGGGUAACCUUUUGGAGCCAGCCGCCUAAGGUGGGACAGAUGAUUGGGGUGAAGUCGUAACAAGGUAGCCGUAUCGGAAGGUGCGGCUGGAUCACCUCCUUUC
RNAcentral lists this ribosomal RNA (411 nucleotides) under Bacillus cereus. RNAcentral describes it as "bacterial SSU rRNA". It matches the Rfam family "Bacterial small subunit ribosomal RNA", at positions 1122 to 1533 of the family's 1533-position model. The record is from RNAcentral. Lineage: Bacteria; Bacillati; Bacillota; Bacilli; Caryophanales; Bacillaceae.